Molecule: ribosomal RNA, 447 nt
Filed under: uncultured bacterium
Lineage: Bacteria
Description: bacterial SSU rRNA
Rfam family: Bacterial small subunit ribosomal RNA
Source: RNAcentral
ACCCAGACUCCUACGGGAGGCAGCAGUGGGGGAUAUUGCACAAUGGGGGGAACCCUGAUGCAGCGACGCCGCGUGGGUGAAGAAGUAUUUCGGUAUGUAAAGCCCUAUCGGCAGGGAAGAAAUUGGACGGUACCUGACUAAGAAGCCACGGCUAACUACGUGCCAGCAGCCGCGGUAAUACGUAGGUGGCAAACGUUGUCCGGAAUUACUGGGUGUAAAGGGAGCGUAGGCGGGAAAGCAAGUUGAAUGUUUAAGGUACGGGCUCAACCUGUACAAGCGUUCAAAACUGUUUUUCUUGAGUGGAGUAGAGGUAAGCGGAAUUCCUAGUGUAGCGGUGAAAUGCGUAAAUAUUAGGAGGAACACCAGUGGCGAAGGCGGCUUACUGGGCUUUAACUGACGCUGAGGCUCGAAAGCGUGGGUAGCAAACAGGAUUAGAUACCCCAGUAA